CAGUUGUGCCAUCCCUGUUACUAGUCCAAGUUCAAAGAGGGAUGCCCACUUGUGUGCUGUCUGCAGCGAUCAUGCAUCGGGAUAUCACUAUGGAGUCUGGUCGUGUGAAGGAUGUAAGGCCUUUUUUAAAAGAAGCAUUCAAGGUACAAGAGUAUUGUUAGCUGCUUCUUUAGUUUUCCACUUUUGCUUUUAAACAAGUUUGCAGAUGACCUGGCAGAAAUUUCUCCUCUGGCCUGCUUGGUACACAAAGUACCUGAUGAGUGCUUCAGAGGAGUGUGUGUGUUUGGGGUGGGGUGGAAUGUUUCAAGUGUAGAGUACUUUAUUUUUCAUUGCAGAUCUCUACCCCAGAACCCAAAUGGAUCUCACCCCAUCAUCACCCAUUGCCUUCUUCUUGGGAGAAGACAUCUGCUUACAACCCUCAUGAAGAUAAAGCUUGGAAAAAAAGGGUGUGCUCAUUAGGAACUGCAAAAAUUGUUUCUUCCUUUGACUUAAAUUUACUGUCUGGCAUACGUAACAGUCAUGAUGGCUGGCUCCUGAGGAAGAGAGUAUAUAUAUAUGUUUUAUGGAAAUGAUCAGAAGUCACUAGUUCAACUCCAGUGGUCUUUGAGAAUUUAUCUAGAGGCAUGUCUUGCCAUGAACUAGUGGAACCUCCUUCACAAUCCCGUUUUCUGGUCUGGGUUUAGACUAUUUCCCUACCCUUCUCCAAAUUUCUGCUGGGCUGGGUUUUUGCUUGUUUUAAUCACCUUUUUAAUCCGUUUCAAAUUUUGUGCACCGGGUUUCAAGGCUAGUCAGCCCCUUGUUGCAUAUGUCCUUGCCAGCCCUGAUUUGCUGAAGGCACUUACUUGCUCACUUGGGCUCUUGGCUGUCUCUCUGCCCCUUAACCCUAUCCCUCGGCAGCCCUCCUCCCAGGCAGUGUCCUAUGUUCCCAUCUCAUAGCUCCCGUCCCUUUUCUGCCAAAGCCUCAGUGCCUUGUUCUUUUCUGGUUAAGGAAAGCAGCCUUAAAGCAAUUCAUAGUGUGCGAGUGGCAAACAGCAAUUUACUGAGUUAAUUCAUCCAGUGAUAACUCUAGAUUAAGAGAGCAUUUUACCUCAAGCAGAGAAGCUCAUGUAAUCUAGAGGGAGGUGAGGCGUAGAAUGUAAGUAGAUAAGGAAUCACCUUCCUCUGAGUCCCCUGAAAUUCACCCUUCAUAGAUGACUACCCGUUUACCCUGGACUCUCUACUUAGUAGCUCUGUGACUUUAAUUCCCAGCCUGUUUCCUCAUCUGUGAAAUGGAGAUACUCACAGAGUUGCUCUAAAAAUGAAACGAGGUUGCUUAUGUGAAAAUAUUUGGUCAAUUGUAAACAUCCUGCAAAUUCAAGUUAUUCUAGUUUUUCUUUUAACUCUUCAGUUUUCAGAUAUCAACGUUGUUUCUUUCUUUCUUGUAUUUCUCUUCUAAUCCUAAUCUCAUUUAAACUUACCUCCUCUAAAAUCUUCAUAGUUAGGUGGAUGAGGGCCCUCUGCCGUUUCCAAACUUUUCUUAUCAAAGGGAAGAACAACACAGGUCAAGGAAGCUGAUGUCAUCAGAUACCAUCAAAACGUAAAUCAUGGUUGCUCAUUUUUGCUUUUACAGACGCAGAGCUUUUCAUUCCACUUUCAUCAUAUUCAGUGCUUAAAGUUUUUUAUUUGUGAUCAUUGUGCUGGUAAGAUUAUAAGGCCAAGUCCAGUUUCCUGCGACAUAGGAUGAGAACAAUUCAGAUUUUGUGAAGCUCAGAACCAAACUCUUAAUAUGAUGACAAUUCUCUAUCUCGUUGAGGUUCUAGAAUUUUAUCUCCUAAGGAAAUUUUGACCCAAAACAACUAACUACAUCCUCAAAAAAGAGAAUUCUUCUUAUUUGCUGUUUGGGAAAAAUCUCUGCAUGGAAUAUCUUUCAUGAUGAUUGUAGCUGAGACUGUAGCUGAUAACAAUAAAAAGACAUAAUGAUUACAUUUGCCCAGCUACAAAUCAGUGUACAAUAGAUAAGAACCGGCGUAAAAGCUGCCAGGCCUGCCGACUUCGAAAGUGCCAUGAAGUCGGAAUGGUGAAGUGUGGCUCCCGGAGAGAAAGGUGUGGGUACCACAUAGUGCGAAGGCAGAGGGAUUCUGACGAGCGGCUGCACUGCCUGAGCAGAGCCGGGAAGAAUGGCGGACACGUGACCCGCGGGAAGGCACUGCUGCUGAGCGCCCUGAGCCCCGAGCAGCUGGUGCUCACGCUCCUCGAGGCCGAGCCGCCCCACGUGCUCGUGAGCCGCCCCCGCACACCCUUCACCGAGGCCUCCAUGAUGAUGUCCCUGACCGAGCUGGCCGACAAGGAAUUGGUACACAUGAUCAGCUGGGCCAAGAAAAUUCCGGGCUUCGUGGAGCUCAGCCUGUAUGACCAAGUGCGGCUCUUGGAGAGCUGCUGGUUGGAGGUGCUCAUGGUGGGGCUGAUGUGGCGCUCCAUCAACCACCCCGGCAAGCUCAUCUUUGCUCCAGACCUCGUUCUGGACAGGGAUGAAGGGAAAUGUGUAGAAGGAAUUCUGGAAAUCUUUGACAUGCUCCUGGCAACGACUUCAAGGUUUCGUGAGUUAAAACUCCAACACAAAGAGUAUCUCUGUGUCAAGGCCAUGAUCCUCCUCAACUCCAGUAUGUACCCUUCAGCUGUAGCAGCCCAGGAGGCUGAGAGCAGCCGGAAGGUGACUCAUCUACUGAACGCAGUGACGGAUGCUCUGGUCUGGGUGAUCGCCAAGAGCGGCAUCCCCUCCCAGCAGCAGUCUGUCCGCCUGGCUAACCUGUUGAUGCUCCUUUCUCACGUCAGGCACGCCAGUAACAAGGGCAUGGAACACCUGCUCAACAUGAAGUGCAAAAACGUGGUCCCCGUCUACGACCUGCUGCUGGAGAUGCUGAACGCCCACACACUUCGCAGCAGCAAGUCCUUGCUCACAGGGUCCGAGCGCAGCCCGACGGAGGAGAGUGAGAGCAAAGAGGGCUCCCAGAACCCCCAGGCUCAGUGAUGCCCAGCCCCGAGGUGUGAUCAGGCUACAGAGGAGGUCAGAGGCUGAAGCGUGAACUCCAACACGAAUCGCGAGCCCCGUCCGGAGGGGGCGGCCUUCAUUGGCUUUCUGCUGUGUGCGCCCUCGUGUGGCCCCUCAGUACCAUCCUUCCCCGACCUCUCCACUUCCCAGGAGUUAGGGUGAGAAAGCCAGUGCUUCUUGUCACCAGGGGGGAUGUGUGACUGCAGAGUUUACGUCUUGCUUGGCCUCAUGGGAUCUCAUUGUGGUCCCUCUCUUACUUCCCACCCCCCUCUACCCUUUGGAAAACAUCUUACAGGUUUGGAGUGACUGGUGGAAAUCUGACCUGGAAGCGUUGUCAGGUAGAAAGGGGAGAGAAUGUGGCACACGCACAAGGGGGCUAAGCCCUGCCCUUAGAAUAGUCCUUUGUAUGCUGCCUUCUGGACCACUUGAUUGUAGGAUUUAAAACCAUGAUGGCAAUCAACCCACUGGUUCUACACCCCUGCCUCACAGGCGUGUGAGGACAAACCCAAGGCCAGAGGGAAUGUGACCUAGGGAGCCAGUGGUCAAGCUGGGAUGUGAGCCACGUGCUUCCCCCAAAACCUUGCUGCCACCUUCAUGCAGGUUCACCCCUCUUGGUUUGCAUUCAGAGAGUCUGUGAAAUACGUGUGUGUGUGUGUGUGUGUGUGUCUGUGUGUGUGUGUGAUCCCCUUCAUGGAGGAGUGUGGGGAUUUAAAUACCCCUGCCCCUGGAAUUGCCCUUUUUUAAAACUCCCUUGUCCCAAGGGGCCCAGCGUGUGUGCUGGAGAGAGGACCAGUGUUUGCAGGGAUGGGGUUUCUCCUGUGGGUGUGGGUCACAGCCACAGUGCCUCCCUGGGGCAGCCCCAACUGCCACAUCAGCCACCCGGGGAGACAGGGACACUGAAGCCCAUGUGUGAGGCGUGCUGUUCCACGGAAGGAUGAAUAGCUACACACACGUCAGCGGGUCAGGUUCAGGGCCAAACUGUAAAGAUGGGAUGAGCAUACCAGUUGAAAAAGAUUGUGAACUCUAUUUAAAAAAGAGAAAUAUUUAGGGUCAUUAUUUAUAGCAAGAAAGAAUUCUUUUAUACCCUAGGGCUCUUUUAAAGUAUUUUCUUAUCAGAACAUUUAUAUGGUGGGCUAGGUGAAAUAAAAGCUUAGUAUUUGUUCUUAUUCCAAGUGGAACGUAAAUAGGACAUAAUGACAAAGCACCUCUGAAAUUUUAACUCGCUUUUUAAAAACUGGAAUUUUCCUACAAAUUUUCAGGAACAUAGUGAAUGCAUAAAACGACUUACAUCUGUACUUUGGAAGAGAGCAGUUAAAUAAUCAUGUGUGAUUUUUGCAAUGUUUUUAAAAAUUACCUUGUGAUAGGAGAUUAAACACAUUUGCUUUUUGAAAAUAGUAAAUACAGAAUGUGCUAGCCACAGUAAACCUAAGUCAUUAGGAAGAUUAUAUUCAACAACGUGAGGUUGGUUUCUGCCAGUGUGAUCUUGAAUAAUUCUUAAUUUUUAUAUUGAUGCAGUUUUACUAAAAAAGUUGAACAAAGCUGUAUCAGAAACACUUGGCCAUGUAUCUAGAGAACACACCGUUGUCUGUAUUCUGAGGUGAUUUGAAAUUAUUCUUAGUGACUUGAUGUUGCAAGCCUCCGUGAGAUUCAGCACAGCAAAUAUAUUUGACUUUAUAGGAGUCAUGGAACAGUAUUUUUCAGGUCAAUUUUAUUUCUUUCCGGCCAGUUUAGAGCCCCCCAUGAAACAGGGGAAUGGAGGCUAGAGGGUGGGAAGUGGGAGGCAAAGAAGGCAGCUGUGAACAAUUAUUUGCCAGUGAAAUUCUCUUAAUUAUAUUUAUGAAAGAGACUACCAGGUUGAAAAAACAAAAAUAAAAAACAACAGAAACAAAACAGAAUGAAGUCCAAGCCACCAUCCUACUACUGCGUUAGGGAAGUUUUUCAGGUUGGAUUUUGACGCCAAGGAAGGCAUCCGGUGGGUCUCAGGUGUCCCAGCACCUGUCUGUGCCAAACCCGUACGCUCACCCAUGCGGUACACCCUCUAAGGAAAACUCCUCCCGCACCCACGACCCAUCUUCCACAGACACUCCUGCAUACUGCUUGAGGCUGCUUGUUGGAUUUAGCCCGUGAGGAGGCUGUAACACUUUUGGUCAUUUCUUCUUGGCUGUGGUCUCACCUGGAUGCGCUGGGGAUAGAGGUGAGUCAGUCCAACCUGAGAGGCUGCCCUGGUGCAAGGCUGUCUCUUAGACUGGGGUCUGGGCCAGGUAGGCAGCUGAGAUAAUACGGUCUAUAGUUUAAAGGUGUUCUUUGAGUAUUCUAGGGCCCUUUCCCCCUUUCAGAUGAAAUGUGUGAAUCUCUGUUCCCAGCAGCUCCAAACAUGUCCUCUAAGCAUGACAAAGUGCAAGGUCAGGCUGCUGUUUUCAUUGUUUUCAUGGCUUUUGAGUAAACCUUCCAUGUCCAUUUUAAAGAUUAGCCGUUUCUCUUUAAUACGGCUUUCUUGCAAAUGUCUUCUUUCUGAGGGGUAUCUACCCACCCAAAUGGUCCAUGGGCAACUUAAAUUUCUCCGAUGGCUAAGCACAGUGUUUUUAAGUUCAGUUUUUAAAAGGAGUUAACUAGGGAGACUAGGACCUGACAACCAUAAACAAGAAUUCCAUAUUGGAAAGAAAAAAAAAACCACUCAACUACAUUUUAUGUAUUGUGGAAAAGGGAUGCUUUGCCUUAGACGUGUAUGGAGAGAUUCCUUUGCUCCAUUUUGGUUCGUAAGCCAUUAUUUAAUAUGACAGACUUAUUUACGAGAGAUGAGAUUUGAGCUAAAUUCCAAAAACAUGAGUGUCUAAUAUGGGAAUCAUAUAGACAAAUUUUAAUAAAAUAAUUAACAUGGAAUAUCUUAACACAGAAACCAUUAGCACAGUGUUCAUGCAGGUUCCUGGGAGAGCUGGCAACCCCUGAAAAGGACCUGCGUGGGCUGCCCCAGGAGAGCCACACAGUGAGUUGUCCGCGUUCUAACUGUAUCUCCCUCUGCCCUCAUCACAAUCCUCUCUCUCUGGCCUCAGGCCUGUCACAUGCUUAGUGUCCACCAGGACGAACUAUCAAUACAAAGGAUUCAACCCUAAAAUAAUUUUGAAGAGGUUUCUCUUCAAAAAUUGAGGUGGGAACAGAAGAUUAAGUUGUCAGCUUAAAAACAUUUCUGGAGGGUCUUAACUGUAUUAAAAACAAAAUAAUGCAAAAUCAGCAACAGCUCUUUGGUCAGACAGUCUCACUGGAUUACUUCCUCUGCUGACUCAGCUGCAAUUAUUUUCAAUUGCAUUUAAAAAAAUAUCAGUUUCCAAUUCCUGGCAGAGCUAUGCUAUAUAUUCGUAUGUAUACACUAAAUUGAAGCAAUUCUAGAAUGUUCUAGCAUGUGAAAACAGUUUGGUUAUUUAAAUCUAAGAAACUUACAUAUAUUGUCACCUUUUCAAAUUCAAAGGUGAACCUUCAGUUUCUAGGUCUAUUUUGAAACAAAACAUUUCUAUUUAAUAAAAUCUGACACGUUUCUUUAAGCCGCUAAAAGUCUUAAAAAGACAUAAUAAAGGUUAUGUGAAGGAAAUGAUAAAAAUAUAUUGCUUACUACCUAAAAAUAUUUGUGGAAUACUGACUGUGUACCAGACACAGUGCUCAGUGCCUCGUACAUUCAUGUUUAAUCCUCAUCCUAACUACUGGUAUCCCAGCUUUCUGGCUGUGGAAGGUAGCGUCUAAGCCAACUUGGUCACGGUCGCACGGGGAAUAAGGGACAGAGCCAGUGCUGAAAGUAAUCAUGCAGUUUAAAAAAACUAAAGGAAAAAUACUUUCCGACUGCAGAAUCCGUUUGUCAAAUGCAGUCUGACAUGCGUGGCUACUCUGGUUUCAGUGGGGCCUGCUUGUGCCAUCCCCACCCCCAAUUUCCAGAACACCCCUGUAGACAAGGCGUGCAGUCCCAUACGUGUGUGAAUUAAAGCCCAGAGGGGUAAACGGAACUGCUCAAGCUCAUAAAACUACUUAUGGCAAAAUCUGGACCAGAAUUCAGGUCUUCUGCCUGCCUGGCCAGCACUGCUUCUGCUAGACGUGCGUGCGUAGGAGUCUGCUGCCUGAGCUGAGUCUUGGUGCGUAGAGGAGAGAUGGUUACGUCAUGUACAGUUGCCUCCUGCUGUACCAUCUGUCUUCUGACCUUUGAUGGGGUCUGCAUGAACCUUUACAGGAUAGCAGCCAUGACAGGUGGGAGAAAAUAAGAUGGAUUAUAUCAUUCCUGCCUUCCCAUCCUGGGCUCAUAAGCUUGUGGGUGGCACUGCCAUCACCUCCUCCUGUCUCUUAUUAUUUUCCCCAGAUGUGUUGCCAUGAAGUGGAUUCCCUGGAAACUUACCCGUGUAAAUUCACACACCUUUUAGGCAUUGAUGUUUCCCCGUGGAGUAUGGUCUACUGCAGUGCAAAACAGAUGCAUUUUUUUCCCCCUCCUGCGACUCCCCUCUACGCUCCCCGUUUAUUCUUUAUAGCUCUCCAAGUUGCUGGAACGUUGGUUCCACUGGCAACUUGAAGAUGUGCAUUCUUUGCAGUGUUAUUCUUAUAACCCUUCUUGUUGCGUUGGAGUCAAGGAUCCAUUUUCUUUUCUUCUUUUUUCUUUCCUGAAUGCCAAGGAUCCUAUUGACUUGUGGGGCCAGUCAGUGUUAUGUGAUGGUGGGCUUCCUUUACGGGAAGGACAAAGGUCUAACGAUGCUAGCCCAGAACAGCUCCUGUAGCUCAACAUUCUCUGUGCUGCUGUGUUUCUCUUUCUGUGCUGGGGGUCUAAGUGCCAUGACUGUGGGUCCUGUAACGUUAUUCAGUGGUCCUGUGCACCUCAGAGCCCUCUGGCAGGCUAUAACUUGUCAUUUUUCUUUUCAGAUGAAUGCUCUGUACCAUUAAGCAGGCUUUUAAAUGUGGGCCUUUUGACAAAUGAAUGUUUGCUGUCAUGUGAAAGCAGAUUUUGAGAUCUGCUUUCCAUUCCCCCAGGUUUGCAGAGCCCUUUGAGACUUUGAUGAAAACCACAGACACUCUUCCUGGAAAAAGGUACAUAAACAAAAUGCUUACGUACAAUUUCAAGAGUUAAGAAUCUCUGACUUAAACUGUUGAAGACUUUUUAAACAGCAGUGAUUUAAAUCUUUAGUCAGCUAAUCUCACAGUUGUGACUUAUGACCGAAGGCACUGUGUGCUCAAGUAAAUUGCAGCUCACACAUAUAAAAGUCCUGGUAUGCAAUGCAUCAAUUUUGGGGGGUAAUUUUGUGUAAUUACCUCAUUUGAGUGAAUUAGUAUUAUACCCCACUAGGGAUGGAGAGAAAAGUAAUUCAUUCAUACUGAAGUUAAUGCCAAGGGUUAUUUUAAAAUUUCUUGCAUGUGGGGAGUGUAAGAUGCAAAACCUCUUGAAGGUGUAAAACACAAAUUAUCUCAAAACUAGAGCCAGGGAACACACUGAGCUGUGAGUGAAGGAAGUCUUCCUCGGGGUGGAAGGCUGGAGUACAGACUCAAGACUCAGAGACUUCUAUCCUGAGAGUUGAUGUGUAUCAUUAGACUUGAAAAUGCAGAUAACACUCUGCUUUCUCUGCAACUUGAACUUGCCCCCAGAGUCCCUCCUUACAGGCAGAAAAGGUCUCUAGAACAGUCACCUCCACUGGGCUGGAAAGAAGGGAAGGAAGUAGAGAUUCUGCCUUUUGUGAAACUGGAGCAAGGACCUUCUAACCAACUCAAUGGCUUAAAGAAAAAGUUUGGGUAAUAUUUUCAGUUAAAUUUCCCUCUAAGGUUGUUAUAAUCCAUGAAUUAUUUUAGAGUUAAGAGACUUUGAGGUUGCAUGGUAAAACAGUACCUUUGUCUCCACAUCACUUCUAACAAUUUGAUAAAGUGAAGACAGACUCUCUUCAGCUGGUCCAUUUACGUAAAGCUACUCGUGAACUGCACACAUCCUGGGGUUUCUGACUCACAGAAGGGCUGCCAGGGCUGAAGUCUGGGCUUCAUCUACUGACAAGCUUCCUUGGCUUCCCUGAGGUUGGGGCUUUGCAGAGAAGGUGAGAGGGACCGAGAUUGCUUCCAGUCCAUGCUGUCUCCCGAGUGUCAAGAGAUGCAGCUUAGGAGCAGGUAACGGAGGAACUGGAUCAGUAACUUCUUUUUUUUUUUUUAAUAUUCUUUUCCAUUAUGGUUUAUCAUAGGAGAUUGAAUAUAGUUCUCUGUGCUCUACAGUAGGCUCUUGUUGUUUGUCCAUUCUCUACAUAAAAGCUUACAUGUGCUAACCCUGGCCGCCCUCUCUAUCCCUCCCCCAAUCCCCUCCCCCUUGGCAACCACAUCUGUUCUCUAUGUCUGUGAUUCACUGUUUCAUAGGCUCAUUUGCAUAUUUUAUAAAUUUAUUUAUUUAUUGGCUGAGUUGGGUCUUUGUUGCUGCACGUGGGCUUUCUCUAGUGGUAGUGAGUGGGGGCUACUCUUUGCAUUGCGGUGGCUUCUCUUAUUGCUGAGCACAGGCUCUAGGCACGCAGGCUUCAGUAGUUGUGGCACAUGGGCCCAAUAGUUGUGGUUCACGGGCUCUAGAGCACAGGCUCAGUAGUUAUGGUGCACGGGUGUAGUUGUUCCACAGCAUGUGGGAUCUUCCUGGACCAGGGCUCAAACCCAUGUCCCCUGCAUUAGCAGAUGGAUUCUUAACCACUGUGCCACCAGGGAAGUCCUGCAUCAUAUUUUAGAUUCCACAUAUAAGUGACAUAUGGUAUUCAUCUUUCUCUUUCUGACUUACAUAGUAUGAUAACUUCUAGUUGCAUCCAUGUUGCUGCAAAUGGCAUUAUUUCAUUCUUUUUUAUGGCUGAGUCGUAUUCCAUCGGAUGUAUAUACCACGUCUUCUCUAUCCAUUCAUCUGCUGAUGGACAUUUAGGUUGUUUCCGUGUCUUGGCUGUUGUGAAUAGUGCUGCUGUGAACAUAGAGGUGCCUAUAUCUUUUAGAAUUAUAGGUUUCUCUGGAUAUAUGCCCAUGAGUGGGAUUGCUGGGUCAUAUGGCAACUCUAUUUUUAGUUUUCUGAGGACCCUCCAUACUGUUUUCCACAGUGGCUGCACCAACUUACAUUCCCACCAACAAUGUAGGAGGGUUCCCUUUUCUCCACAUCCUCUCCAGCAUUUGUUAUUUGUAGACUUUUUAAUGAUGGCCAUUCCAACCGGUGUGAGGUGGUACCUUGUAGUUUUGAUUUUCAUUUCUCUUAUAAUUAGUGAUAUUGAGCAUCUUUUCAUGUGCCUAUUGCCCAUCUGUAUGUCUUCUUUGGAGAAAUGUCUGUUUAGGUCUUCUGCCCAUUUUUGGAUUGGGUUGUUUUGUUGUUGUUGUUGAGUUGUAUGAGCUGUUUGUAUAUUUUGGAAAUUAAGCCUUUGUUGGUCACAUUGUUUACAAAUAUUUUCUCCCAUUCUGCAGGUUGUCUUUUUGUUUUGUUUAUGGUUUCUUUGAUGUGCAAAAGCUUAUAAGUUUGAUUAGGUCCCAUUUGUUUAGUUUUGUUUUUAUUUGUAUUGCCUUGGGAGACUGACUUAAGAAAACACUGGUACGAGUUAUGUCAGAGAAUGUUUUGCCUAUGUUCUCUUCUAGGAGUUUUAUGGUGUCAUGUCUUAUGUUUAAGUCUUUAAGCCAUUUUGAGUUUAUUUUUGUGUACGGUACAAGGGUGUGUUCUAACUUCACUGAUUCACAUGUGGCUGUCCAGCUUUCCCAACACCACUUGCUGAAAAGACUGUCUUUUUCCCAUUAUAUAUUCUUGCCUCCUUUGUUGAAGAUUAAUUGACCAUAGGUGUGUGGGUUUAUUUCUGGGCUGUCUAUCCUGUUCCAUUUGGAUCAGUAACUUCUAAUCAUACUCUCUGGGUGGGAAAUAGACAGUAGUGCUGCAGUUGUAUGGAAAGCAGUUAAACACUAUGUGUUAGUUCACUCUGGAGGGAGCUGGGAGUACAAAGAUCUGGGUGAAAUGAUUGUCUUGUGUCCACCUUCCACACCGUGCUGCCCUCAUUACCCCCUACAGCAUUGGAGGCUCACACACAGGUUUCUAGAUCUCAUAAAUUAUUCUGUACAAAGUUAAUAAACCCAUAAAUCCUCUCAAAUAUUUUAAAAAUAAGUUUUGCUCUAUGGAAGAUUACGCAGAGCAUUUAACUGUUUUGAAAUAUAAUCCAGUAUGACAAAAGUAUGGCU
Molecule: RNA transcript, 11197 nt
Organism: Hippopotamus amphibius kiboko
Lineage: Eukaryota; Metazoa; Chordata; Mammalia; Artiodactyla; Hippopotamidae
Gene: ESR2
Gene name: estrogen receptor 2
Exons: 8
Source: RefSeq, a predicted model, not a curated record